GGUUAAGCGACUAAGCGUACACGGUGGAUGCCCUGGCAGUCAGAGGCGAUGAAGGACGUGCUAAUCUGCGAUAAGCGUCGGUAAGGUGAUAUGAACCGUUAUAACCGGCGAUUUCCGAAUGGGGAAACCCAGUGUGAUUCGUCACACUAUCAUUAACUGAAUCCAUAGGUUAAUGAGGCGAACCGGGGGAACUGAAACAUCUAAGUACCCCGAGGAAAAGAAAUCAACCGAGAUUCCCCCAGUAGCGGCGAGCGAACGGGGAGCAGCCCAGAGCCUGAAUCAGUGUGUGUGUUAGUGGAAGCGUCUGGAAAGGCGCGCGAUACAGGGUGACAGCCCCGUACACAAAAAUGCACAUGCUGUGAGCUCGAUGAGUAGGGCGGGACACGUGGUAUCCUGUCUGAAUAUGGGGGGACCAUCCUCCAAGGCUAAAUACUCCUGACUGACCGAUAGUGAACCAGUACCGUGAG
Molecule: ribosomal RNA, 467 nt
Filed under: Escherichia coli
Lineage: Bacteria; Pseudomonadati; Pseudomonadota; Gammaproteobacteria; Enterobacterales; Enterobacteriaceae
Also listed under: 1 other name
Description: partial 23S ribosomal RNA
Rfam family: Bacterial large subunit ribosomal RNA
Source: RNAcentral